AAAAAACYUCCUGKUUGUUAAAGGAGGACAUAUUCUGAGAGUAACUGUCAGGUAUGACGGUAUUUAGCAGAAAGGCACGCUACUACGUGCCAGCAGCGCGUAUACGUAGUGCAAGCGUGUCCGGAUUUAUUGGGCGUAAAGCGAGCGCAGGCGGUUUUUUAAGUCUGAUGUGAAAGCCUUCGGCUCAACCGAAGAAGUGCAUCGGAAACUGGGARACUUGAGUGCAGAAGAGGACAGUGGAACUCCAUGUGUAGCGGUGAAAUGCGUAGAUAUAUGGAAGAACACCAGUGGCGAAGGCGGCUGUCUGGUCUGUAACUGACGCUGAGGCUCGAAAGUAUGGGUAGCAAACAGGAUUAGAUACCCUGGUAGUCCAUACCGUAAACGAUGAAUGCUAAGUGUUGGAGGGUUUCCGCCCUUCAGUGCUGCAGCUAACGCAUUAAGCAUUCCGCCUGGGGAGUACGGCCGCAAGGCUGAAACUCAAAGGAAUUGACGGGGGCCCGCACAAGCGGUGGAGCAUGUGGUUUAAUUCGAAGCUACGCGAAGAACCUUACCAGGUCUUGACAUACUAUGCAAAUCUAAGAGAUUAGACGUUCCCUUCGGGGACAUGGAUACAGGUGGUGCAUGGUUGUCGUCAGCUCGUGUCGUGAGAUGUUGGGUUAAGUCCCGCAACGAGCGCAACCCUUAUUAUCAGUUGCCAGCAUUAAGUUGGGCACUCUGGUGAGACUGCCGGUGACAAACCGGAGGAAGGUGGGGAUGACGUCAAAUCAUCAUGCCCCUUAUGACCUGGGCUACACACGUGCUACAAUGGAUGGUACAACGAGUUGCGAACUCGCGAGAGUAAGCUAMWCWCUUAAAGCCAUUCUCAGUUCGGAUUGUAGGCUGCAACUCGCCUACAUGAAGUCGGAAUCGCUAGUAAUCGCGGAUCAGCAUGCCGCGGUGAAUACGUUCCCGGGCCUUGUACACACCGCCCGUCACACCAUGAGAGUUUGUAACACCCAAAGUUCGGUGGGGUAACCUWYRAGGAACCAGCCGCUUAAGUGACAGU
This 1045-nucleotide ribosomal RNA is filed under the name Lactiplantibacillus plantarum. RNAcentral's name for it is "bacterial SSU rRNA". Lineage: Bacteria; Bacillati; Bacillota; Bacilli; Lactobacillales; Lactobacillaceae. The record is from RNAcentral.